ACAUCCAGAGAACUUAGCAGAGAUGCUUUGGUGCCUUCGGGAACUCUGAGACAGGUGCUGCAUGGCUGUCGUCAGCUCGUGUUGUGAAAUGUUGGGUUAAGUCCCGCAACGAGCGCAACCCUUAUCCUUUGUUGCCAGCGGUUCGGCCGGGAACUCAAAGGAGACUGCCGGUGAUAAACCGGAGGAAGGUGGGGAUGACGUCAAGUCAUCAUGGCCCUUACGGCCAGGGCUACACACGUGCUACAAUGGCGCAUACAAAGAGAAGCGACCUCGCGAGAGCAAGCGGACCUCAUAAAGUGCGUCGUAGUCCGGAUUGGAGUCUGCAACUCGACUCCAUGAAGUCGGAAUCGCUAGUAAUCGUAGAUCAGAAUGCUACGGUCGAAUACGUUCCCGGGCCUUGUACACACCGCCCGUCACACCAUGGGAGUGGGUUGCAAAAGAAGUAGGUAGCUUAACCUUCGGGAGGGCGCUUACCACUUUGUGAUUCAUGACUGGGGUGAAGUCGUAACAAGGUAAGCGUAGUGCU
RNAcentral lists this ribosomal RNA (526 nucleotides) under uncultured bacterium. RNAcentral's name for it is "bacterial SSU rRNA". It matches the Rfam family "Bacterial small subunit ribosomal RNA", at positions 984 to 1509 of the family's 1533-position model. The record is from RNAcentral.